UACAGAGGUCUCAAGCGUUGUUCGGAUUCAUUGGGCGUAAAGGGUGCGUAGGCGGCGCGGUAGGUCGGGUGUGAAAUCUCGGAGCUUAACUCCGAAACUGCAUUCGAUACUGCCGUGCUUGAGGACUGGAGAGGAGACUGGAAUUUACGGUGUAGCGGUGAAAUGCGUAGAUAUCGUAAGGAAGACCAGUGGCGAAGGCGGGUCUCUGGACAGUUCCUGACGCUGAGGCACGAAGGCCAGGGGAGCAAACGGG
RNAcentral lists this ribosomal RNA (253 nucleotides) under uncultured bacterium. RNAcentral describes it as "partial 16S ribosomal RNA". It matches the Rfam family "Bacterial small subunit ribosomal RNA", at positions 524 to 776 of the family's 1533-position model. The record is from RNAcentral.